Molecule: ribosomal RNA, 497 nt
Filed under: uncultured bacterium
Lineage: Bacteria
Description: partial 16S ribosomal RNA
Rfam family: Bacterial small subunit ribosomal RNA
Source: RNAcentral
GAUGAACGCUGGCGGCGUGCCUAAUACAUGCAAGUCGAGCGAACAGACGAGGAGCUUGCUCCUCUGACGUUAGCGGCGGACGGGUGAGUAACACGUGGAUAACCUACCUAUAAGACUGGGAUAACUUCGGGAAACCGGAGCUAAUACCGGAUAAUAUAUUGAACCGCAUGGUUCAAUAGUGAAAGACGGUUUUGCUGUCACUUAUAGAUGGAUCCGCGCCGCAUUAGCUAGUUGGUAAGGUAACGGCUUACCAAGGCAACGAUGCGUAGCCGACCUGAGAGGGGGAUUCGCCAAACCGGAAAUGGGAAACGGGCCCGACCCCUAAGGGGGGCAGGAGGAGGGAAACUUCCCGAAAGGGGGAAAAGCUGAAGGAGGCACGCCGGGGGAGGGAAGAAGGGUUUCGGGUUGGAAAACCCUUUUAUUAGGGAAAAAAAAAAGUGUAAGGAAAUUUUCACGUCUUUACGGGAACUAAUCAGAAAGCCACGGCUAACUAAGUG